GACGAACGCUGGCGGCGUGCUUAACACAUGCAAGUCGAACGGUGAAGCUCCAGCUUGCUGGAGUGGAUCAGUGGCGAACGGGUGAGUAACACGUGAGCAACCUGCCCCUGACUCUGGAAUAAGCGCUGGAAACGGCGUCUAAUACUGGAUACGAGAAGGGUCCGCAUGGGCACUUUCUGGAAAGUUUUUCGGUUGGGGAUGGGCUCGCGGCCUAUCAGCUUGUUGGUGAGGUAAUGGCUCACCAAGGCGACGACGGGUAGCCGGCCUGAGAGGGCGACCGGCCACACUGGGACUGAGACACGGCCCAGACUCCUACGGGAGGCAGCAGUGGGGAAUAUUGCACAAUGGGCGAAAGCCUGAUGCAGCGACGCCGCGUGAGGGAUGACGGCCUUCGGGUUGUAAACCUCUUUCAGCAGGGAAGAAGCGAAAGUAACGGUACCUGCAGAAGAAGCACCGGCUAACUACGUG
This 468-nucleotide ribosomal RNA is filed under the name uncultured bacterium. RNAcentral describes it as "partial 16S ribosomal RNA". It matches the Rfam family "Bacterial small subunit ribosomal RNA", at positions 28 to 507 of the family's 1533-position model. The record is from RNAcentral.